RNAcentral lists this ribosomal RNA (131 nucleotides) under Licmophora paradoxa. RNAcentral describes it as "partial Eukaryotic large subunit ribosomal RNA". Lineage: Eukaryota; Bacillariophyta; Fragilariophyceae; Licmophorales; Licmophoraceae. The record is from RNAcentral.
AAUAAGGGGAGAACCAUCGGUUGAGAUAUUCGAUAAUGCGGUUGUUUGAGCAGCCAAUGUUACAAACCUAUCAUCUGUAUAGGAUGCCUCCAUCCAUCCAAGUCGGGAUCCCUGCAGGUAGAGGUGUUGGA